Molecule: ribosomal RNA, 57 nt
Filed under: Steinernema carpocapsae
Lineage: Eukaryota; Metazoa; Nematoda; Chromadorea; Rhabditida; Steinernematidae
Description: partial 28S ribosomal RNA
Rfam family: Eukaryotic large subunit ribosomal RNA
Source: RNAcentral
AGACCUCAAUUUGAGCAAGAUUACCCGCUGAACUUAAGCAUAUCAUUUAGCGGAGGA